CCCUUCGUCUUUCUGGGGGUGGGAGGAAUUGUCCGAUUUGCUGCGGCUGAAUUCCAUGCCGGCGAUGAUGGGUCGCUUGAAUUUGCCAGCAGAGUCUCCGCUCGGGCACUUGCAGCAGGACAUGAUCCGGAUGAAGGCCCGACGCAUCUCCUUGUUGGUCAGAGUGUAAAUGAUGGGGUUGGUGCCGGAGUUGAGCACAGCUAACACCAGGAAGUACUCCGCUCUGAAGAGGAUGUCACAGGUCUUCACCUUGCAGCCCACAUCCAGCAGGAGCAGGAUGAAGAGCGGUGCCCAGCAGGCGAUGAAGACGCUCAGGACGAUAAUUACGGUCUUGAGCAGCGCCAGCGACUUCUCAGAGCUGCGGCUGGCCUUGGAAAUGUUCUUGCGGAACGUCAGGCGGCGGCUCCGAGUCCUGACCAAGGAGUAGAUUCUGCAGUACAGAAUGACGAUGGAGAGCAGAAGCAGAGUGAAGACCGUGGUGCAGAAGAGGAUAUAGUGCUUGUGGUAGAGCGGCAGCACGGUGGAGCAGCUGGACAGCGCACUGAUGCAGUUCCAGCCCAUGAUAGGCAGGCCACCCAGGAUGAGGGAGAUGACCCAGCAGGCGCUGAUUAGCAGGAAGAGGCGGAAGUUAUUGCUCCCGUUGUGGAGUUUCAUUUUCAGCAUUGUGAUAUAGCGCUCAAUGGCGAUGGCGAGGAGACUGAACACGGAGGCUGACAGGGCCACAAACAUACUCCCUUCCCGCAGAAACCACUGGGCGGGAGUGAGCUUGUAGGUGGUGGCCCCAGACAAGAGCAGGUUAGCUGUGUAGGCUACUCCUGCCAACAGGUCUGAGAGGGCCAGAUUGCCAAUAAAAUAGUACAUGGGUCGGUGGAAUUUCUUGGUUUUCCAAAUGGUCAGCAAGACAAAGAUGUUCUCCAGGAUGAUAAAGCAGCAGAUGAGAAUGAACACCACCGAGGUCAGUUUAAUGCUGUUCUCCU
This 977-nucleotide long non-coding RNA is filed under the name Homo sapiens (human). RNAcentral's name for it is "non-protein coding lnc-DPH5-4:1". Lineage: Eukaryota; Metazoa; Chordata; Mammalia; Primates; Hominidae. The record is from RNAcentral.